RNAcentral lists this transfer RNA (75 nucleotides) under Candidatus Saccharimonadota bacterium. RNAcentral's name for it is "tRNA-Asn". It matches the Rfam family "tRNA". From Rfam's summary of the family: Transfer RNA (tRNA) molecules are approximately 80 nucleotides in length. Their secondary structure includes four short double-helical elements and three loops (D, anti-codon, and T loops). Further hydrogen bonds mediate the characteristic L-shaped molecular structure. tRNAs have two regions of fundamental functional importance: the anti-codon, which is responsible for specific mRNA codon recognition, and the 3' end, to which the tRNAs corresponding amino acid is attached (by aminoacyl-tRNA synthetases). tRNAs cope with the degeneracy of the genetic code in two manners: having more than one tRNA (with a specific anti-codon) for a particular amino acid; and 'wobble' base-pairing, i.e. permitting non-standard base-pairing at the 3rd anti-codon position. The record is from RNAcentral. RNAcentral also lists the same sequence under 3 other names. Lineage: Bacteria; Candidatus Saccharimonadota.
UCCGGCGUAGCUCAGUGGUAGAGCGGUUGGCUGUUAACCAAUAGGUCACUGGUUCGAGCCCAGUCGCCGGAGCCA